This 525-nucleotide ribosomal RNA is filed under the name uncultured microeukaryote. Its description in RNAcentral is "bacterial SSU rRNA". It matches the Rfam family "Eukaryotic small subunit ribosomal RNA", at positions 1 to 549 of the family's 1831-position model. The record is from RNAcentral.
AUUUCACUACGCGAUUCACCCGGUUCGAACCCCGCCAGUAGUCAUACGCUUCGUCUUCGCGGAUUAAGCCACGCACGCUAAGGUUUAAUAGUUUAUAUCGAAACAGUAGAUCGGCUCCAUAAAAGAUUACUUACUUAAGUUCGCACCCAAUAUUUCGACCACUCGGAUAUCCGUGGUAAUUCUUCGGCUAAUACAUGUGUAUUUAUGUUUAUCGAAUUCAUAUGGAUUGCUUUAGAGUUAUAGGAAAAUUUUGAUUAUAUUAAUGUUUUUACAUUAGACGAACAUAGGGUUAUCAACUAUUAGGUCCCGUUGGUAGUGUAACGGACUACCAAGCCUAUGAUGGUUAUCGGGGGAUUAGCGUUCGAUCCCGGAGAGGCAGCUUUAAAGAUAGCUACCACAUCUAAGGAUGGCAGCAGGCGCGCAAAUUACCGAAUUUUUUAUAAAAGAGGUAGUAAAUAGACAUUUUGACAUAAAUUUAUUUAUGAUCGGGAUGAACAGCUUGGAAAGAUAGUUGUUGAACCAACU